This 1415-nucleotide unclassified non-coding RNA is filed under the name Bombus terrestris (buff-tailed bumblebee). RNAcentral's name for it is "misc RNA ENSBTSG00005021190.1". The record is from RNAcentral. Lineage: Eukaryota; Metazoa; Arthropoda; Insecta; Hymenoptera; Apidae.
AUCAGAAGACCAGAAGACGAAAUAUGCUGUAUUUUCCCCCCGGAAUAUCAAGAAGAAAAGUACCAUCAACAAUUAUUCAGUUUACCUAUAGCGAAGGAGGUCGCAAACAGUCUAACCAAGGUAGGCCAAUGUAGAAAUAUUAAACUCACAAUAGAUGACGAGACAGCAACAUUGUAUAUCAAUACGGAUUCAAGCUUCGCAUUCCGAGACAUUGUCUUAGAGGAACCAGAAAUAACUCGCACAAGAAAAGCAAAGACGGAAAUUGACAUGGUAAAACUUCUAGAGACUCUCAGAAAAUGAGAUAAGAGGGAAAUAGAGGAAAUAAACUUCAAUAUAGAACAAUUUGAAGGAACUCGAAGAGCCACAGACUGGAUAUCGGAGCAUGAAGAGGAAUGCAAAAGAUACAAAAUAAAAGGUUCGUUCAUAGAAUAUGCAAUAGAGAAAGGACGACUAAUAUUGGAGGUAAAAGAAGUAAAAAGAAGAAUGCCUGAAGAUGUGAGGGUGCACCUGAUUGUCAUUGGAUUACCUAUCGAAAUCCAAGAUAAAAUCGAAAGAGAAAGUAUACAGUCAACAAAUAACCUAAUGGGAAUUUUGGGACAAUAUGAAGAUUGGAGAAACUGAUUUCAUAAAAAUUAUCCGUGCAGAUCGAUACCCAGUAAUGACAUCCAAAGAAAUUCGAGUAUGCGAGAAAGAAGAAAAUUAAAUUAAUUUUCACCUCGACUGACUGUCCAUCCUCCAAUGGACUAAACGAGAGGGUAAAUCAGACAUUAGUAAACAGGAUCAGAUGUAAGAUCAAUUCGAAAAAAAAAGAGAAACUGGACAAAAAUCGCAGAAGAAAGCGUAGAAGAGUACAAUAACACCAGACACAGUGUAAUGGGAUUUGCCCCAAAUCAUUUACUGUAUGGAAAAAUGAUUGAAAUCCUCCCUAAGGGAAUAAUGGAGAAUAUGAAGAAUACUUGUCGAGUGCCACCACAGUGAUAUAGUCUUCACCCACAACGGAAACAAAGUGAAUAGAAAUAAGCUGGAAGAAAUUAGGAAAGGACCUCUCAAAAUUCUAAGAAGGAUUUCAAACUUCAUAUAUGAAGUGGAUAACGGUAAUCGGAGAUCUGAUGGGAAUUUCUUCCACUCAAGUAAGCUGAUCCCUUAUAGAGAAGAUAAUUAACGAUGUAAUUAUCAACACGAGGAGGGGAGAUGUAAACACCCUAAAGUUCAUGUAGGAUAGAGAUUCUUUCUGUUUUAGGGGUAGCACGACAGGCUGUGUUUCACGGAUAGAACGAUCUUCCUUUGUUUUACGGACGGGCAUUUGAAGAAGCACGUUCUUCCCAAACGAAUGGACAGAGAGUUACAUUAGAGACAGAUAAGGUUUCAGAAUAGUUAUUUAAGAUUUUAAAGACUGAAGAUUUAAGAUUUAAAGA